RNAcentral lists this ribosomal RNA (540 nucleotides) under uncultured bacterium. RNAcentral's name for it is "bacterial SSU rRNA". It matches the Rfam family "Bacterial small subunit ribosomal RNA", at positions 777 to 1314 of the family's 1533-position model. The record is from RNAcentral.
AAUAGAUACCCGGGUAGUCCACGCCGUAAACGAUGAAUGCUAGGUGUUAGGGGUUUCGAUACCCUUGGUGCCGAAGUAAACACAUUAAGCAUUCCGCCUGGGGAGUACGGUCGCAAGACUGAAACUCAAAGGAAUUGACGGGGACCCGCACAAGCAGUGGAGUAUGUGGUUUAAUUCGAAGCAACGCGAAGAACCUUACCAGGUCUUGACAUCCCCCUGACCGGUCUAGAGAUAGGCCUUUCCUUCGGGACAGGGGAGACAGGUGGUGCAUGGUUGUCGUCAGCUCGUGUCGUGAGAUGUUGGGUUAAGUCCCGCAACGAGCGCAACCCUUGAUCUUAGUUGCCCAGCACGUAAGGGUGGGCCCUCUAAGAUGACUGCCGGUGACAAACCGGAGGAAGGUGGGGAUGACGUCAAAUCAUCAUGCCCCUUAUGACCUGGGCUACACACGUACUACAAUGGCCGGUACAACGGGCAGCGAAGGGCGACCUGGAGCGAAUCCUACCAAAGCCGGUCUCAGUUCGGAUUGCAGGCUGCAACUCG